Molecule: ribosomal RNA, 460 nt
Filed under: uncultured bacterium
Lineage: Bacteria
Description: partial 16S ribosomal RNA
Rfam family: Bacterial small subunit ribosomal RNA
Source: RNAcentral
CCUACGGGAGACAGCAGUGAGGAAUAUUGGUCAAUGGCCGGAAGGCUGAACCAGCCAUGCCGCGUGAAGGUCAGUGCCCUAUGGGCGUUAAACUUCUUUUGUGCGGGAGCAAUAAUGGUCACGUGUGGCCAAACUAGAGUACCGUACGAAUAAGCAUCGGCUAACUCCGUUCCAGCAGCCGCGGUAAUACGGGGGAUGCAAGCGUUAUCCUGAUUUACUGGGUUUAAAGGGUGCGUAGGCUGUGAGGUAAGUCAGCUGUGAAAUGCCCCCGCUCAACGGGGUGAAGUGCCAUUGAUACUGCCUUGCGGGAAUGCGGAUGCCGUGGGAGGAAUGUGUGGUGUAGCGGUGAAAUGCAUAGAUAUCACACAGAACACCGAUUGCGAAGGCAUCUCACGAAUCCGCGAUUGACGCUGAUGCACGAAAGCGUGGGUAUCAAACAGGAUUAGAUACCCGAGUAGUC